GAGAGAGCACAAGUAGGCAGAGAGGCAGGCAGAGGGAGAGGGAGAAGCAGACUCUCCACCGAGCAGGGAGCCCGACGUAGGGCUCGAUCCCAGGACCCUGGGAUCAUGACCUGAGCCGAAGGCAGAUGCUUAACCGACUGAGCCACCCAGAUUAUAUUGGACGUUUACCCAGCUGGUGUCUCCUGAGUCAGGCUUGAAGAGCUCUGAGAAGAAACUCCUCACAAGCAAAACAAGACUACAUCAGAGAGCCUCGAUCUUCACAUUUUGUGGGCAAUGACAGUUCUCAUCAAGAGAACCAUUUUUACCUUGUGGAAACCGAUGUGAUCUAUACUGGACCAGAAGAAAGAACAAGGAACCAACUAGGAGCCAAAGAACAUUGCUGGUCCACCACCAACAGCUGAUUAUCAAGAUUACAUCUUGUAUUUGGCCAAAAAAAAAAAAAAAAUCAGCGACACAUUGAAAACUUGAAGCAUGAGCCUACAGCUGUGCACCCUGCACAGCUGACUGAAGACCAUAAGGUCAAGCACUAAGAACAAAUCUGGGCAGUGACAUCCAUGUCUAGUCUGCAAAUCAUCUGACUUUCAGGGCCAAGGAUGACAAAGUCCCACUUCGUGGCAGGGAAACGUCCCAUGAUCUGAAUCCUCUCAAAGUUUUUGUUGCAGCUUUUUUUUGAAGUUUUAAGAAGUUACGACUUCCCCCACACUGGUGCAUUGGCAUAAUACCCCCACGCCUGCAGGUCCCAGCACCAUUGUUACCACACUGUUUUGAUGGGCUCCACAUUCGCAGCUCUCCAAGGAUCCGUGACUGAGUUGAAUGAAAGCUUUGCUACUUGGCAGAAGUAGCAAGAACACAUAAAACCUGCCAGCUGUCAAGGAUGUAAAUGGUGAUUUUGUUUCACUUUUUAAUGAAUUAAAGCAGGAUUGAAAUCAAUCCAAAGACAGCAUGUUUGGCCUUUUAAAGGGAAAAAAAAAAUGGAA
Mirounga angustirostris (Northern elephant seal) is the source of this 977-nucleotide long non-coding RNA. RefSeq lists it as uncharacterized. The transcript has 7 exons. The record is from RefSeq and is a predicted model, not a curated record. Lineage: Eukaryota; Metazoa; Chordata; Mammalia; Carnivora; Phocidae.